CCUGCCACUCAGCACUCAGGCCCUGGUCACACAUGUGCCCCCCUGGGGCUUUGCCCACCUUUCCUUUCCUCUUGCUUCUUUGAUCCUUCAUCUCUCCAUUCCAAAUGAAAAUCCUAAGGGCCUGAAGUCCACCAAGCGCUGGUGUGUUUCCAGUUAACUCGGUUGCCCUAAGUUUUCCCCCACUGUAUCGUGGUAGUGACUCAACAGCCUGCUCACAGGAUACUGGGAGGCUGCACCGGUGCUGGAGGCUCUUCUACCUGCCUUGGUGGCCUCCUGACAUCCCUCUCAGGCCACACUAGGCCCUGGGAGCUUCUUCAUCCUGGAUACUACCCAAUGGGGAAGAUCCAGGAAAAGAUCAGAGGGAGGAGGAAAAGCUCUCUCUGCUUUCCCUCUGGAACUCAAUACAAACAUGGAACACUUCUCACUGUGGAGCACUACACCCUGAACUGUGUGGCUCAGCACUUUCUCCUGGAUCUGUCAUCAUUCAACCCAUAGCCCUGUGUGGUCAAGCAUUGGCAGGAGCCCUAUAUUACACCGAGCCUCUGAGAAGUGAAAAAAUAUCCACCGCAACCCACAGCUGGCAUGAAACAAGCAUCUUGCUUCACCACACACUCACUCUCUGGCUUGGCAGCCAGAGGUCUGAAGCAAUGAGUCUGCUCAGUCUUGGACUAGAAUUUACAAAACUGUCAGUUUAGACGAAACUGCAAUGGUAAAUUUUGGUUGUCAGCUUGACUGGAUCUGGCCAAAUAUAUGGAGGUUCACCGCUACCAGCUAGACUCAUCUACCCUGUUGUGUCUUGAGUUCAUCUACUCUGCUGCUGCUUCCAGUCUUCACAGGACUCAGAUCCCAGUGUGGAAUGAAGACCAGUGGUUCUCCAGGAAUCCUCCAGACCUUCUCCGUCAGAUGGGGACCACUGAGCACCCAGCUUCAUGGACUGAGCUGUCAGUCUCUCCAGUGUGAAGACAGUUACUGUUAGCAUACCCAGACAGUACCAUGCAAGCUAAUUUAAUAAAUCCUUUUAGUAUAUAUUCAUUCUAUUGGUUCUGUUCUCCUAGAGAACCCUGGCUAAUACACUCUCCAAAUUUCUAGCCCA
Cricetulus griseus (Chinese hamster) is the source of this 1093-nucleotide non-coding RNA. The record is from RefSeq and is a predicted model, not a curated record. Lineage: Eukaryota; Metazoa; Chordata; Mammalia; Rodentia; Cricetidae.